GGGCGGCUAGCUCAGUUGGUUAGAGCGUUACAUUGACAUUGUAAAGGUCACAGGUUCGAAUCCUGUGCCGCCCA
Molecule: transfer RNA, 74 nt
Filed under: bacterium
Lineage: Bacteria
Also listed under: 1 other name
Description: tRNA-Val
Rfam family: tRNA
About the family: Transfer RNA (tRNA) molecules are approximately 80 nucleotides in length.
Source: RNAcentral